Long non-coding RNA from Equus asinus (donkey), 2420 nucleotides. NCBI's taxonomy places the organism in Eukaryota, Metazoa, Chordata, Mammalia, Perissodactyla, Equidae. The record is from Ensembl.
CCCCGCUCGGCCCCCGCCCGCCCGGAGGGAGGCUCGGCCCCUUCCAGUCCCGGCCUGUGGGCAGCUCCGAGCCCCAGCCCCAGGGAUCUUCUGUGUGUCAGGCUUGUUGUAGGCCCUGGGAUCUGGCAGUGAGCAAACAGAUGUGGACCCAGUGGAGCUCCCGGGCAUGCCGUCAGUGGAACACAGGAAAUGUGUACAGAGAGAACCAGGGUUGAGAGAAGACUGGAGCACAAAGAGGAGGACCGAGGAGCGUCCACUGAAGAGCCGCAGCCCCGGGCGAGUCUCAUGUCCACGUUUCCCACAGCUGGGGUGGAGCUGGCCUUCUACACCUCAGGGGCAUUUGUCUUGUUCUUCGCGUAUUUCGAAGCCUUCUUAUUAAGUGCAUCCACCCUUAGGACUGUUCUGUCUUCCUGAUGAGUUGACCCUUUGUCAUUCUGAAGUGACCCUCUGUCCCCUGGCAGCAGUUCUGUGAAGUCUCCUUAGCUGGGUGUAGGGAGAGGCCAGAAGCACCCACUGCCGCUGGUUUAUUUACAGCCCACGCAGCUGGUUCACAUCUGGUUCCCCAAACUCAGCAGCUCCUCCUUGGUUUCUUGUUAGUGUCCUUCUGUGUCCUCUGCACCACAGAUUCCCUACCCACCUGGCGCCCCUCCUUUCUCCAUGCUUCCCCCUCCCCGCUCACCAUCUGAUGAUUGGUCUGGAGCCUUCAUCUCUCUCAAUCUCUCUUUUUUGGAAGGCUGUGAUCAAUGGUCAUUAAUAAUGCAAAAGUUCUUUCUGUCUUGGUGUGAGUCCCAGGCAAAUAGAUGGGGAGUUAUCCGCAGCCACACCUCGGCCUUCUCCCCUCUGCUCAGGCCCUGGGCUCUUGUCCGAAAUAGGAAAUCGGGAAAUUGAGCAAUGCCAAAUGGAGGCAUCUCCCAAACUGGGUGCUGCCGCUGAUACCCCAAGUUGAACAGUCAUAGAGGAGGAAGGGGUCCCGUCCACACAGCCAAAGCAUCUGCAGCUGCCACCAGGGGCCCAGCCUGAGAUCCUGCUGUUGGGGAAUUCACCCGGCAGAGUGAAUAUAGACAUACCCCGGGUGUGUGUCCUCCCUGAAAAGACCCCACAGCCCAGCAGCUGCCCUGACCAGGGUGAGGAACAGAGGGGGAGGAGAGAGCGCAGUCCUGGGGCAGCAUCUCAGCACGCUUUGGUGAAGCUUACCUCGUUCAACAACAAAAGCAGCUGGAGACGCAAAUGCCCUUGGAGGGCUGGUCCGAGGAAGAGGCUAGGUCUGCUGGAGCGCGCUCACCUCAGCCUCCAGCCCUCCCCCUGCCCGGCGGAUGUGUGAGCGCAGUCCCCACUCUCAGGAAGCUCACAAUCCAGGAGAGAAAACCCACACGCGGUUAAGUACAGCACCGGGUGGGGGCAGGGGGACCAAGGGGCUGAAAGGAGAGCACGCCCCAGCUGGGGGCUGGGCGAGGGCAGCUCCUGCUGAACCUUGAAGGUGAGUAGGAGGCACUCCAGCACGGCGGGACUGGAAGGCGAGAGGUUCCGGCGGAAGGAACAGUAUGUGCAAAACACGGAGGCUAAAGGGAGAAUUUGGUUGGGGGAACCACAAGUCUGUAGAUAUUGCUAGAGCCGGGGGAAGCGGUCAAGAUGAGGCUGGAGGAGCAGGCAGGGGCCAGCUCAUGAAGAGCCUUGAAUGACAGGUGAAGGAGCCUGGGCUUUCUCCCGAGAGCCACGGGGGAGGCAGGGAAGGGCUUUGAGGGAGGCAGCGGCAUGACUGGAGAGGGCGGUUGCUGUCCCUGGUCCCCUAGACUCUGAGCCCCACGUGGGCAUCAUCUGCAGUUCCAUCACCAUCCCCAUCGCAGCUGACACGACGAAAAAGCCUGGAGCAAUUCCCUGGUCAGCUUCCUGCCCCGUCCACACCAUCCUCUGCUUCACUGAGCAGGCUCCCCAAAACGCGGGGACCCCCUGCCCGGACAUCGCCAGGCCCUCCCCUCUCCCUUCUGAGGAGCUCCCCACUGCCUUGUCCUGUCAUUCCAGGCGCUUCCCAGUCUGUUCCCAUUCUCUAGGUCCUGCCUUCUCAAACCCGGCUCGCACUUUUCCUUCCAUCUGGAAAGCUCUGAUCCCUGUUUCCAUUGGUCAGAAUCCCCCUCCUUUCCAGAAUCUUUCAUACCUCCUUGGUGUGGCACAACUCAUCCCUCAGGCCCAGCUCCCACUCUCCUUCUCUGUGGGUCCCUCCCCUUCCUCCAGAGCGGAAGUCAUGGCUCCCUGCUUGGAGGUCCGAUGCAGAGUGUGGGUUAAAAAUGAUGGUGACCAAUAAAAACUAGACUAUUGGUGGUGAACAUGAUGCAGUCUAUACAGAAACUGAUAUAUAAUAAUGUACACCUAAGUUACAUGAUGUUAUAAGCCAAUAUGACCUCAAUAAAAUAAUUUUUUUAAAA